GACCUCAAAUCAGGUAGGAACACCCGCUGAACUUAAGCAUAUCAAUAAGCGGAGGAAAAGAAAAUAACAAUGAUUCCCCUAGUAACUGCGAGUGAAGAGGGACAAGCUCAAAUUUUAAAUCUGUCGGGUUUUACCCGAUCGAGUUGUAAUUUGAAGAAGCGUUUUCUGCGUAUUUGGUCAGCCCAAGUCCUAUUGAAUGAGGCAUCAUGGAGGGUGAUAAUCCCGUCCGGUUGAUCAUUGCGUUUUAUGAUACGCUUUCUAAGAGUCAAGUUGUUUGGGAUUGCAGCUUAAAAUGGGAGGUAAAUUUCUCCUAAGGCUAAAUAACGGCGAGAGACCGAUAGCGAACAAGUACCGUGAGGGAAAGAUGAAAAGAACUUUGAAAAGAGAGUUAAACAGUACGUGAAAUUGUUGAAAGGGAAACGAUUGAAGCCAGUCGUACCUAUGGGUAAUCAGCCUUUUGGGUGUGAUUUUGUGGAGCGUGAGGAGUUAAACGCCUUCAUGCCUGCAUAUUCGUGCACUUUGGGUGUACUUGCCCGUGUGUAAGUUAACAUCAAUUUUGGUGGUCAUAAAAUGGCUGGAGGAAUGUAGCUUCGAUCUUGUAUUGAAGUGUUAUAGCCUUCGGUAGAUGUGACGAUCGGGAUUGAGGAUUGCAACGGAUACCCUUCGGGGCUACCUGUCUGAUCUCUGAUUGUUGCUCUGGUACCGAAAGCUUGCUUACGGUUAUCAAAGUCGAUGGUCAAUAGGUUAGAACGGGUUAAAUUCGUUAAGGAUGUUGACGUAAUGGCUUUAAACGACCCGUCUUGAAACACGGACCAAGGAGUCUAACAUAUAUGCGAGUGUUAGGGUGAAUAAACCCUUACGCGUAAUGAAAGUAAUUUUGGUGGGAUCACUUUUGUGCACCAUCGACCGAUCAGGAUAUUUUUUGAUAGAUUUGAGUAAGAGC
RNAcentral lists this ribosomal RNA (943 nucleotides) under Rhizophagus irregularis. RNAcentral's name for it is "eukaryotic LSU rRNA". It matches the Rfam family "Eukaryotic large subunit ribosomal RNA", at positions 1 to 801 of the family's 3401-position model. Lineage: Eukaryota; Fungi; Glomeromycota; Glomeromycetes; Glomerales; Glomeraceae. The record is from RNAcentral.